UGCAGAAUCCCGUGAACCAUCGAGUUUUUGAACGCAAGUUGCGCCCGAAGCCUUCCGGUUGAGGGCACGUCUGCCUGGGCGUCA
This 84-nucleotide ribosomal RNA is filed under the name Xanthium sibiricum. RNAcentral's name for it is "partial 5.8S ribosomal RNA". It matches the Rfam family "5.8S ribosomal RNA", at positions 73 to 154 of the family's 154-position model. Rfam says of the family: 5.8S ribosomal RNA (5.8S rRNA) is a component of the large subunit of the eukaryotic ribosome. It is transcribed by RNA polymerase I as part of the 45S precursor that also contains 18S and 28S rRNA. Functionally, it is thought that 5.8S rRNA may be involved in ribosome translocation. Lineage: Eukaryota; Viridiplantae; Streptophyta; Magnoliopsida; Asterales; Asteraceae. The record is from RNAcentral.